Vicia faba (fava bean) is the source of this 198-nucleotide non-coding RNA. Lineage: Eukaryota; Viridiplantae; Streptophyta; Magnoliopsida; Fabales; Fabaceae. The record is from the annotation of a GenBank genome assembly.
AUGGUAAUUCCAGUUCUAUCGUUAUCAUCAUCAGCUUCAAUAAAAAAUAAAAAUCAUAAAAAAAAUGUAAUCGCACAAAUCGGCUCUGCAGAAUCACGAUUAAUAAGAUUUGCAGAUUCCUAUCAGAAUGCAAAACAAAUGAAAUUCACUCUUGAUUUUGGUCCAAUCAUAGCAUCGAAGGUCAGAGCUAUCGUAUAG